Saccostrea echinata is the source of this 152-nucleotide long non-coding RNA. RefSeq lists it as uncharacterized. Lineage: Eukaryota; Metazoa; Mollusca; Bivalvia; Ostreida; Ostreidae. The record is from RefSeq and is a predicted model, not a curated record. The transcript is spliced from 3 exons.
ACAUUUUCUAUCGUAUACAUUUUCUUUUUGACACUAAACGCGAUCCAGACAAGAGACAAUCAAAGAUGUGGUGGGAACUACACAUGCUGUGCUGGUUUCAGAUGGGAUAAUACCAAGAGACAAUGCAUUCCGUGUGAAUUAGGAUAUUUUGG